This 239-nucleotide ribosomal RNA is filed under the name uncultured bacterium. Its description in RNAcentral is "partial 16S ribosomal RNA". It matches the Rfam family "Bacterial small subunit ribosomal RNA", at positions 1159 to 1396 of the family's 1533-position model. The record is from RNAcentral.
CAAACCGGAGGAAGGUGGGGAUGACGUCAAGUCAUCAUGCCCCUUUAUGACCUGGGCUACACACGUGCUACAAUGGACGGUACAACGAGAAGCGACCCUGUGAAGGCAAGCGGAUCUCUGAAAGCCGUUCUCAGUUCGGAUUGCAGGCUGCAACUCGCCUGCAUGAAGCUGGAAUCGCUAGUAAUCGCGGAUCAGCACGCCGCGGUGAAUACGUUCCCGGGCCUUGCACACACCGCCCG